Molecule: ribosomal RNA, 508 nt
Filed under: Laliostoma labrosum
Lineage: Eukaryota; Metazoa; Chordata; Amphibia; Anura; Mantellidae
Description: partial large subunit ribosomal RNA
Rfam family: Bacterial large subunit ribosomal RNA
Source: RNAcentral
AACGGCCGCGGUACCCUAACCGUGCGAAGGUAGCAUAAUCACUUGUUCUUUAAAUGGGGACUUGUAUCAACGGCAUCACGAGGGUUAUACUGUCUCCUUUCUCCAAUCAGUGAAACUGAUCUCCCCGUGAAGAAGCGGGGAUGCUUAUAUAAGACGAGAAGACCCCAUGGAGCUUUAAACCCAAUUGCACCUCGCCCAUAUUACACCCUCUUAACUAGCGAGUCCUGUCUCUUGGUUUUAGGUUGGGGUGACCACGGAGCACAAAAACACCUCCGAGAUGAAUGGGGCUAACCCCCCCCCUUAUCUAAGAGCUACCUCUCUAAGAAUUAGUAUUCUAACAUAAAAUGAUCCGAUUUUCGAUCAACGAACCAAGUUACCCUGGGGAUAACAGCGCAAUCCACUUCAAGAGCCCCUAUCGACAAGUGGGUUUACGACCUCGAUGUUGGAUCAGGGUAUCCCAGCGGUGCAGCAGCUGCUAAAGGUUCGUUUGUUCAACGAUUAAAACCCU